UUCUAACUCAGAAGGUAAAGAAUCUGCCUGCAAUGCAGGAGACCCAGGUUUGAUCCCUGGGUUGGGAA
This 68-nucleotide transfer RNA is filed under the name Capra hircus (goat). It matches the Rfam family "tRNA". From Rfam's summary of the family: Transfer RNA (tRNA) molecules are approximately 80 nucleotides in length. Their secondary structure includes four short double-helical elements and three loops (D, anti-codon, and T loops). Lineage: Eukaryota; Metazoa; Chordata; Mammalia; Artiodactyla; Bovidae. RNAcentral also lists the same sequence under 1 other name. The record is from Rfam by way of RNAcentral.